UGGACAGAGCAGAGGGCCCCGCAGCCCUGCCUGGAGGUCCAGAGCUGUUGGGAAUCCGCCUCGGGCCUUGGGCUGCAGCAUGACCCCAAGAACACAGAGCAGGAGGAUGGGGCACCUGCAGGAGCAGGCAGUUAUUCAAAAGUCUUAGUAGCCCAGACGCCGCAGUGAAGGCCAUAGGAAAGUGUGGAUGGACACGCACUCCAUGGAAACCUGGCCUUGAAACGCACCGCGCUUCUCAGGCAGCGUCCACCUCACGCUGACUUCGCGCUUCACCUUGAGGCCUGCGUCUGUUUCUGUUGUAAGGAGGCAUUGCCAUGGAGCCACCGUCAGGGAACGCUGAGAAGAGCCGUUCAACCGAGUCACGACGUCAUUCCCGGAGCCCAGAGCCCGAGUGAGGGAAGCAUGUGGAGCCAGGUCGGGUGGACGGCAUUGGCCGCCAGCAGGAACCAAGCAGGGUGAGAAGCGAGGAGAGGCCAGAGUGGGCAUCCUCGCGAUCCCAGAAGGAUUUCACCGUGGGAGGCUGGGACGACCCCAGGCAAGUCAGGGGCCGUGUUUGCGCCUCGUGCGGAGGUGCCGGAAGCUACGCCUUCUCACAUGUCUCACAGAGAGCCCGGCAGCUGCGGAUCGGCAGUAGUGGGAGCCGUGUCCAUUGCUCUCCGACACGACACGGGCGGCAAGGAAGGAGGAGGAAGAGG
RNAcentral lists this long non-coding RNA (695 nucleotides) under Heterocephalus glaber (naked mole-rat). RNAcentral describes it as "lncRNA (ENSHGLG00000035261.1)". Lineage: Eukaryota; Metazoa; Chordata; Mammalia; Rodentia; Bathyergidae. The record is from RNAcentral.